AAAAUUCUGUCAUUCAGAAUCCAGCAGCAAGGUUAAUUGAAGGUGAUCCAAAAGCAGAACCUCCAAGAACUGCCCCGGAACAGCCUAGUCCUGUCUCUGUUCUAGAUGCCGCAUUUUACGGAGAUGAAUCACCGUCUCCUGUGAAGAAAACAUCAAAAGCUUUUGAAGGUAAAAUUCAUGUAUCCUUUAUGCAUUAAUUGUGCUCAACUGAAACUUCAAAUUAAAAUGGGUUCUAUAAUCAUUUCAUCAUGAAAACAAAUUAUAUUUUGAUCUUAAAUCAACCCAAAACACAAAAAUGUACAUUUAAACUAGGAGAGGGAGCAGGAAAGCUUACAAGUUCAUGCUCAGUAAGUUUUCAUUCAAAGCAUCUAAGCCUUUGACAUGCCUAAGCACCCUCUUAACUUAAAAGUGCAUCACACUUCCACAAUGCAUGAAUCUAGGGAUGAAACUAAUAGCAUAUAUAAUGUUAAGCCUUGUUGCUGUCAGAUACAACAGACAAUCAACCAAGCUUCUAUAAGUCUUGCACCAAAUUUGUUGAAAACAUCUUUGCCAAGUUUUCCACCUUGAGCAUUGGUUUGCUCACUCUCCAUAUAAUGCUUCUUUAGCACUUCUAUUGAGUACUUUUGCAGCCCAAUUAAAAUACCAAACUAAGAUUGAAGAAUUUCUAUCCAAAGAAAUAUGUCAUCUAAAACAUCUUCUUUAUUUCUUACACCAAGAUUAGGCUGCUCUAAUACAAGUAAAUCAUCCAAAUAUAAAAAAAGAAUCAACAUAUCCUCAUUUUUAGAUUUCUUACACCAAGCAUUUGUCAAUUCUAUCACGCUAGUCUUCUAAGCGCCUGCUUCAUCCCAUACAAGGGCUUCUUGGCUUGGUAAACCUUAUCUUCUUUGCCUUUCAAAGCAAAACUUUAGGUUUCUCCACAUGUGUUUCUUCUGUCAAGUAAGUUGUCCUCUAUAAAAUCUCCAUGGCCAAUUUUGAUUUUUGAAGUUUAGGUUCUAUUAAGAACCUCAAAUAUGUCUUCAUCAGAAACCAUGUUAUAUAUGCAACCACUGUUUAUCAAACUAAUGGAGUCUGUGGUUGUUGAUGCUUGCAUAACAUGUUGCAGCAGGCAUAUGCCCCUCUAGUAGCUGACCGUUUUCAGCAAUCUGAGUUUAUGCACCACAUUGUUGUUCGAUAUGCUCCAUUUGCUUGCAUGAUCUAAACUGAAUGUUAGCUCUUUACCAACAGUAAAUUUCCAAAAGAGUUGUUUUCUUAUAGUGUUGAGCAUGGUGGAUAAUUACUUUUUCCACCAUCUUUACUUCUUUCCCUGUCUUUCCUCUACUUCUCUCUUUUGCCACCAAAGUUUCAGCUCUUACACCUAAAUCAGUCUUUUCUUUGUUCUUGGUUUGAAAAGCACCCCCAGUAACUUCUUCUUGUUAGCUUAAUCUUCUCUGCUUGCUAAUGAAGAUAUCGUAAACAAGUCUUUUAAUCUUCAAAGGAUGAAACUUUAGACUCAUUUUUUAGGAAGUGAUAAUAACUUUCUUUAGAAUCCUCUUGGAUGAGAAUGCAUUUCCAAGCAACCUGAUGCUGUUGCCAAUAAUCAUGAUACUCUAUGAAUACUACAUAAUUGUUCACCAUCUUCCACCUUCAAUUUUUCAAAAUCUAUUACGAGAUUAACAACCUGCUGCACUCAAAGUAAUAGUCCCCUCAAGGAUCAAUGGGGAUGUUAUGCCAAAUCUGUAUUGCGCACUCCAAGUUUAGAAAGUCAAGAAAAUUCAUUAAGAAACUUUAGUAAAGUUUAUCCAUGACCAGCAUGAAAGCUUUAAAAACUAUAUAUCCACCAAAAGAACCAGUAAAUUAACUCAUACUUACUAGUAAUCACAUAAUACAUGUAGGAACCAUAAUGUAACAAUUUAAACAUUGCGUAAGGAUAGAAUCUAUAUGAAACAAGAAAUUUGAGGAAGGUACUAUUUGUUACAGAAGGCUUGUCCAGUUAAUUAUUGAGUUCACAAUUUUCUAUAACAGGUGAUGAGGGUCUUACCCCUAAUGAUGCAGACUGGAGUUCCAUAGGUCUAAAUCACUUGCCCACCUGCAGAGAAACCAGUCCAAGGUUCAAGACAGACAGCAGGAAAGCAGAAAACAUCCAGCACUUGGUCCAGAAAUUCAUGAAUUUAG
Molecule: long non-coding RNA, 2151 nt
Filed under: Gossypium raimondii (Peruvian cotton)
Lineage: Eukaryota; Viridiplantae; Streptophyta; Magnoliopsida; Malvales; Malvaceae
Description: long non-coding RNA (GRAI_LNC009803)
Source: RNAcentral